AGCGACUGUGCAGGUUACCGCGGCUGCUGGCACGGAGUUAGCCGGUGCUUCUUCUGUGAGUGAUGUCCUUCCUGCCGGUUAUUGACCCGCAGGCCUUCUUCCUCACUGAAAGUGCUUUACAACCCGAAGGCCUUCUUCACACACGCGGCAUGGCUGGAUCAGGGUUGCCCCCAUUGUCCAAUAUUCCCCACUGCUGCCUCCCGUAGGAGUCUGGGCCGUGUCUCAGUCCCAGUGUGGCUGAUCAUCCUCUCAGGACCAGCCUACGGAUCGUCGCCUUGGUGAGCCCGUUACCUCACCAACCAGCUAAUCCGACAUAGGCUCAUCCGAUAGCGCGAGGCCCGAAGGUCCCCCGNUUUCCCCCGUAGGGCGUAUG
Molecule: ribosomal RNA, 373 nt
Filed under: uncultured bacterium
Lineage: Bacteria
Description: partial 16S ribosomal RNA
Source: RNAcentral